UACGAAGGGAGUUAGCGUUGUUCGGAAUCACUGGGCGUAAAGCGCACGUAGGCGGAUUUGUCAGUCAGGGGUGAAAUCCCGGGGCUCAACCUCGGAACUGCCUUUGAUACAGCAAGUCUUGAGUUCGAGAGAGGUGGGUGGAAUUCCUAGUGUAGAGGUGAAAUUCGUAGAUAUUAGGAAGAACACCGGUGGCGAAGGCGGCCCACUGGCUCGAUACUGACGCUGAGGUGCGAAAGCGUGGGGAGCAAACAGG
RNAcentral lists this ribosomal RNA (253 nucleotides) under uncultured bacterium. RNAcentral's name for it is "partial 16S ribosomal RNA". It matches the Rfam family "Bacterial small subunit ribosomal RNA", at positions 524 to 776 of the family's 1533-position model. The record is from RNAcentral.